Long non-coding RNA from Triticum aestivum (bread wheat), 448 nucleotides. RefSeq lists it as uncharacterized. The record is from RefSeq and is a predicted model, not a curated record. The transcript is spliced from 3 exons. Lineage: Eukaryota; Viridiplantae; Streptophyta; Magnoliopsida; Poales; Poaceae.
CAGAAACAAAACGCGAUUGAUCGCAGACAGAAGAUAUUGGCUAACGAGACGGCGAAUCCAGAUCAGAUCAAAUCGAUCGCAUCGCAUCCAGAGGAGGCGGCGAGCGAGACGACCACGACAGGCGGGGCAACGAGCCUUCUGAUUUUCGAUUAACUUGUCAGAUGAACAUGUUCCUCUCGCCAUCGCCAAAAGAGAUUUGAGUCGUCAUCGGGAGAAGAUUGAUUACGAGGAUAUCAUCGAAGAUUUCACUUCAAAGAAUAUUAAAAGAAUGAUGUUGUCCAAAUAAAUAUUAUACAACCGAAAGUUGAAUAGAGAGCCAAGUCAGAACUAUAUAAUCCCGAAUGCUUUUACUGAGAGGGAAAAAAAAGAGGAUUUAUGAUGUUGAGUACAUGGCAUUUUAUUACCGCACUUGAUUGUUGAGACAUAGGCUCAGGAGUCAGGGUCAUUC